RNAcentral lists this transfer RNA (87 nucleotides) under Deltaproteobacteria bacterium RBG_13_53_10. RNAcentral describes it as "tRNA-Leu". It matches the Rfam family "tRNA". From Rfam's summary of the family: Transfer RNA (tRNA) molecules are approximately 80 nucleotides in length. Their secondary structure includes four short double-helical elements and three loops (D, anti-codon, and T loops). RNAcentral also lists the same sequence under 3 other names. Lineage: Bacteria; Deltaproteobacteria. The record is from RNAcentral.
GCCGGGGUGGCGAAAUUGGAAUACGCGCGAGACUUAGGAUCUCGUGGUCGAGAGACUGUGCGGGUUCGAGUCCCGCCCUCGGCACCA